This is a long non-coding RNA of Capsicum annuum, 1439 nucleotides long. RefSeq lists it as uncharacterized. The record is from RefSeq and is a predicted model, not a curated record. Lineage: Eukaryota; Viridiplantae; Streptophyta; Magnoliopsida; Solanales; Solanaceae. The transcript has 3 exons.
ACUACUUUCUUCUCACUAAAAUUUGCAACAUUUUCAUAUACAUUAAGGAGCGUGUUUCUCUCCCACUUGAAAUCCACUCCAGAUAGGCUGCAGAUUCCGUCUAUAACUUGUUUGCUCAGUAUGUGUCAAGCAUUGGAUGGAUCCUGAGGUAUGGGAAAGAGUAUAUUAAUGGUGUUCAAAGUUUGUUGGACUUUGUUUACACUGUUGGGGAUCCUCAAAGCCAUGAAAUCCAAUGUCCUUGUGAAAAGUGUUGUAAUAUUCCUUGGCAUCAAAGGGAUGUAAUAUAUGAUCAUCAAUAUACUACAGAUUUAUUGAAGGUUAUACAAGAUGGAUUAAUCAUGGGGAAUGGGAUAUUGUGAUGAAGGUUGGCACUGAGACAGAUUAUAAGGUUGACUCAAAUGUCUACACUGAUAGUAAAUUAGUGACAACAAGUUAUCUAAAACUUGAUGAAGAUAUCAGCAAAUUCAAAUGACACUAUGCUGAGGAUGUUGCUUCUGUAAAAAGUGGCUUAAAAAAAUUAAAGAAAAGAUGUAUGAGAAUUACGUCAUUUGGUGACUGUAUUGAUGCAAAACAACCCUAUAUUGGAUGUUCAGGACGUAGCAGAGUAUGUCGGAUCCAACACACUUUCUGUCGCUGAUGCAAAUAGUGUAGAAUAUGGGAGGGGCCAAAAUCUUUCACAUUCCUGUGAAUUAACUCAUUAUCCAUGAAAAGCAAAUUAACUAAUGUAGCUACCAACUGGCCGAAUAGAAGUGUCCAAAGUACUCUCAUUAACUUUCAAUUGAUAGGACUUGGAAGACUAGUCUGGUUGCGCAUCAGCUAUGAUAGAAAAAUUCCAUGAAGGACCAAGAAAUUUGUGAGAUUUGAUGUAAGUUUUCAGAAAGCUAAGGCUGUUAUUAUUGUACUUUCACAUCCUUUAUCUUGAAAUGCAUAAGAGGAAAGAGUUAUGAUGGGUCACCUAUACUUGUUAGUGCCAUUGAGGGUGGACAAACAUUUGACUUUUUUAUGUGCACCUCUCUGUUUUUGAGGCACUAAAAUCCUAAUGACUCUUUGUAGUGGAUUGUGGACAAAUUCCAUUGAUGUUUAUGUACUUGUUUACUAAUCCAUAUGAUAGUGAGAAGUUGUCAAGAGAUUUUCUGGUCUAAAACUCAUUUAAUAUAUCAAAUUGAUGAGUUGAUAAGGAGUGUAACACAUACUGAAAAAUCUUGCAUCAUUCCAAUUGUUCAGGAAUAUCCUCACAUGUUAUUUUACUUCCGUUAUAUUUUGGUCCCUCUAACAGGGAUACUUUCUUUGAUAACCAAUAGUUUCAAGGCGUGUUGUGGACCAAGUUUUAUAGAGAUAUGCAAUCAAUGGUUCCUCUAGGCAUAGAUCAUCCGGAUGCAACCGCAUAAUGAUAUGAAAAUAGUGAAUUUUGUUCCAUUUUCUUCUUUUUUGUAUUUUUG